GAUGAACGCUAGCUACAGGCUUAACACAUGCAAGUCGCGGGGCAGCAUGGGGGUUGCUUGCAAUCCCCGAUGGCGACCGGCGCACGGGUGAGUAACGCGUAUCCAACCUGCCCUUCACCACGGGAUAACCCGGCGAAAGUCGGACUAAUACCGUAUGUUGUCCAUUGACGGCAUCCGAUUUGGACGAAAGGUUUGGCGGUGAAGGAUGGGGAUGCGUCCGAUUAGCUGGACGGCGGGGUGACGGCCCACCGGGGCGACGAUCGGUAGGGGUUCGGAGAGGAAGGUCCCCCACACUGGAACUGAGACACGGUCCAGACUCCUACGGGAGGCAGCAGUGAGGAAGAUUGGGCAAUGGGCGUAAGCCUGAACCAGCCAAGUAGCGUGCAGGAGGACGGCCCUAUGGGUGGUAAACUGCUUUUAUGCGGGGAUAAAGUGGCCCACGUGUGGGUUUUUGCAGGUACCGCAUGAAUAAGGACCGGCUAAUUCCGUG
Molecule: ribosomal RNA, 490 nt
Filed under: uncultured bacterium
Lineage: Bacteria
Description: partial 16S ribosomal RNA
Rfam family: Bacterial small subunit ribosomal RNA
Source: RNAcentral